This 634-nucleotide ribosomal RNA is filed under the name Setaria italica (foxtail millet). RNAcentral's name for it is "eukaryotic LSU rRNA". The stretch from base 200 to 355 matches the Rfam family "5.8S ribosomal RNA". The record is from RNAcentral. Lineage: Eukaryota; Viridiplantae; Streptophyta; Magnoliopsida; Poales; Poaceae.
CUUAACAAACAGACCGUGAACAUGUCAUCCAUCCCGCACGUGGUUCUACCCGUGCAAGGCCCCCGACCUUUCCGAAGGAGAGGGGCCGCAAAAGAACCCACGGCGCCGAAGGCGUCAAGGAAAACUGAUAUUGCCUUGCUCGGGGCUGUGCUCGGCUUGCCGAGCACACCUCGUGCAGCGAUGCUAUCUUAAUCCACACGACUCUCGGCAACGGAUAUCUCGGCUCUCGCAUCGAUGAAGAACGUAGCAAAAUGCGAUACCUGGUGUGAAUUGCAGAAUCCCGCGAACCAUCGAGUUUUUGAACGCAAGUUGCGCCCGAGGCCUUCUGGUUGAGGGCACGCCUGCCUGGGCGUCACGCCAAAAGACACUCCCAACCCAAACCUGGGGAAGGACGUGGUGUUUGGCUCCCCGUGCUGCAAGGCGCGGUGGGCCGAAGUUUGGGCUGCCGGCAUAACUUGUCGGGCACCGCACGUGGUGGGCGACAUCUAGUUGUUCUCGGUGCAGUGUCCUGGCAUGCAGCUGGCUUAUUGGCCUCAAGGACCCAUACACGACCGAAGCGUUUAGGCGCUCGGACCGCGACCCCAGGUCAGACGGGACUACCCGCUGAGUUUAAGCAUAUCAAUAAGCGGAGGAA